Paramisgurnus dabryanus is the source of this 979-nucleotide long non-coding RNA. RefSeq lists it as uncharacterized. Lineage: Eukaryota; Metazoa; Chordata; Actinopteri; Cypriniformes; Cobitidae. The record is from RefSeq and is a predicted model, not a curated record.
UGCGGGCUUUUCUGUUUUAUUACUAGACUAUUACUGAUGUUUUGCUUAGUAAUUUGGAAAAUACAAGAUGCUAAUAAUGUUUCUUUUAUAUAUAUAAACAUAUCUGUAUUUUCCGAAAAUACAUGAUACAAAUAAUGUUUGUUUUUUUUAGGAAUGUGGCUUCACCGUCAUUUACUCGCACAGGGCAUGCAGAAACGAAACCGAAAUUCAUAAAGUGUAAGUUACAUUUACCGGCUUUAUUUUUUCUCAAUAUUAGUAUAACUGAUGUGUUGCUUGAUUUUUUUAUGCAUAAAACUAUGAUUGUUUUUUUGGGGAAUGUUGCUGCUUUCACCUUCGUUUGAUACUCGCAUUGGGAGGGCACGCAGAAGCGCAAUUGAGAACAAUAAAGAGAAUAUGUCUGCAAGACCAACUUCGUCUGGUACUCGAGGGCACGCAGCUGAGCAACUGGGAACAAUAAAGAGUACAUCAACAUGAAUGUGGCUACUCACAAACGCCAUAGGUCUCCUUCAGUUCUCAAAGCAACUGAGAAUAGUGUUGAUAAGGCCCCUGUUGCAAAGAGAGUCAAGACCGUUUUGUCAUGGAAAACAGAGACUGAUAUUGAUGUGGUUCCACACACUUUGCGUUUCUUUCCUGCACGGGAACCUGGACCACAGCACACACACCCCUGAGUCUCUUCAAAAUGUUUUUUUUCCUGAGGAUGCAGUUUUAACUCUAUGCCAUAACACCAUAGCUCAGGCUGCCAGGGCAACAGCAAAGGGUUGCAAGUAUAAAUGGAAAGAUGUCAGCGUCACUUUCAUUCACAGCUGACAUUUAGAAUCAUUUUCUUUUAAUUAGAGCCAUAUUGUACUAGUCAUAUAGAAUAUUGUUACAUGUAUACAUAUUGUUACUUUAUUAUUUAUAAUUACAAUGAAGCUUCUUUAUUUAUAAUUACAAUAAAGCUUCUUAACUCUAUUGUUUUGUUCAUGUUUUUAGCAUUUUU